This 461-nucleotide ribosomal RNA is filed under the name uncultured bacterium. RNAcentral describes it as "partial 16S ribosomal RNA". It matches the Rfam family "Bacterial small subunit ribosomal RNA", at positions 339 to 795 of the family's 1533-position model. The record is from RNAcentral.
CUACGGGCGGCUGCAGUGAGGAAUAUUGGGCAAUGGGCGGGAGCCUGACCCAGCCAUGCCGCGUGCAGGAUGACGGCCCUACGGGUUGUAAACUGCUUUUGCACGGGAAGAACGGCCCCGACGUGUCGGGGAUUGACGGUACCGUGCGAAUAAGCACCGGCUAACUCCGUGCCACGGCAGCCGCGGUAAUACGGAGGGUGCAGGCGUUAUCCGGAUUGAUUGGGUUUAAAGGGUGCGUAGGCGGAACUGUAAGUCAGUGGUGAAAUCCCCCCGCUCAACGGGGGAACUGCCAUUGAUACUGCGGUUCUUGAGUACAGUCGAGGUAGGCGGAAUGUGUCAUGUAGCGGUGAAAUGCUUAGAUAUGACCCAGAACACCGAUUGCGUAGGCAGCUUGCUAGACUGUCACUGACGCUGAUGCACGAAAGCGUGGGUAGCGAACAGGAUCAGAUACCAGUGUAGUC